UGGGGUAUCGCCAAGCGGUAAGGCACCGGUUUUUGAUACUGGCAUGCCCUGCUUCGAAAUCUACUAUCUCGCCCA
Molecule: transfer RNA, 75 nt
Filed under: Escherichia coli
Lineage: Bacteria; Pseudomonadati; Pseudomonadota; Gammaproteobacteria; Enterobacterales; Enterobacteriaceae
Description: tRNA-Gln
Source: RNAcentral